This 505-nucleotide ribosomal RNA is filed under the name uncultured bacterium. Its description in RNAcentral is "bacterial SSU rRNA". It matches the Rfam family "Bacterial small subunit ribosomal RNA", at positions 8 to 518 of the family's 1533-position model. The record is from RNAcentral.
AGGGUUCGAUUCUGGCGUCAGGAUGAACGCUGGCGGCGUGCUUAACACAUGCAAGUCGAACGGGAAUUACAUUUUAGCUUGCUAAGUUGUAAUUCUAGUGGCGGACGGGUGAGUAACGCGUGGGUAACCUGCCUUAUACCGGGGGACAACAGUUGGAAACGACUGCUAAUACCGCAUAAGCGCACAGUAUCGCAUGAUACAGUGUGAAAAAACUCCGGUGGUAUAAGAUGGACCCGCGUCUGAUUAGCCAGUUGGCGGUGUAACGGACCACCAAAGCGACGAUCAGUAGCCGGCCUGAGAGGGCAAACGGCCACAUUGGGACUGAGACACGGCCCAAACUCCUACGGGAGGCAGCAGGUGGGGAAUAUUGCACAAUGGAGGAAACUCUGAUGCCAGCGACGCCGCGUGAGUGAAGAAGUAUUUCGGUAUGUAAAGCUCUAUCAGCAGGAAAGAAAAUGACGGUACCUGACUAAGAAGCCCCGGCUAACUACGUGCCAGCAGCCGC